GUGGGGUAAUUUUCCGCAAUGGGACGAAAGCCUGACGGAGCAAUGCCGCGUGGAGGUGGAAGGCCUACGGGUCGUCAACUUCUUUUCUCGGAGAAGAAACAAUGACGGUAUCUGAGGAAUAAGCAUCGGCUAACUCUGUGCCAA
Molecule: ribosomal RNA, 144 nt
Filed under: uncultured bacterium
Lineage: Bacteria
Description: partial 16S rRNA
Rfam family: Bacterial small subunit ribosomal RNA
Source: RNAcentral